AUUCUUCCCACCACGUUCCUGGAGGGAUGGGGAGGAGAAACAAAAGAAUGUAAAUCCCACAGGUUGAGAUAAGAGUAGUCCAGCAACUAAGGUAUAAUAAAAAACCACUACUGCUACCACCAAUGAUAAUAAUGAUUAG
Molecule: long non-coding RNA, 139 nt
Organism: Strigops habroptila (Kakapo)
Lineage: Eukaryota; Metazoa; Chordata; Aves; Psittaciformes; Psittacidae
Exons: 2
Source: RefSeq, a predicted model, not a curated record